GGACUAAUUAUGAUACAUUUUAUAUCUUAGCGGAUUUCAAUGAGAUUUUAUUGAUGAUCUGAAUGUUACACACCCUGAAGCCU
Molecule: small nucleolar RNA, 83 nt
Organism: Papaver somniferum (opium poppy)
Lineage: Eukaryota; Viridiplantae; Streptophyta; Magnoliopsida; Ranunculales; Papaveraceae
Product: small nucleolar RNA R11/Z151
Exons: 1
Source: RefSeq, a predicted model, not a curated record